CAAAAUUUAUAUAGGGAUGACGUCACACCCUUUAAUCUUUGUUUAUCUUUGCAACGUUGUGACAUUGGGCAGCUCCUUUGAUAGACAUUGAGUUAAUAAUUGCAUCCACAAGCUUAUUGAGGAAAACGUUUCACUCUUUGUCAUCAUUUUGACCUAUUGAUUUAAGCUGAUGUCAUACCUAUUGCAACAGAAUUUAUAUAGGUGACGCAGCAACAUUAUGUAUGUGAGAUGAAAUGGAAUUGCAUUAAUGAUAUGAUACAAGGUUUAAUUGUGAACAUUGAGUGCUCUUUAUCUCUUAUGCUUUGUUGAAGAAGUAAUAUAAAUCUUUGUCUCUUUUUAGCCAUCAUUGACUUCGUCAAUAAUAGCAUUAAUCAUUUGCUCAUAUAUGUAUUGAAGGAUAGUCAUUGAUUUUAUGAAGUACUAACCCACUGCAAGAACAUAUUCUAGUUUUCUCUGUCUUGUCUCGCAAACAGGUGCAUCAUCGGUGGAUCUUUCUCCUUGACUAUCUCAUACUUGGCUGCAAUCUGUGAAAGGGAACCUUUUAUCUUGAUCCAUUAUCCUUAGCCCUCCUUGAACCCAGAUUGCAUAGGGACGUCUCCCUUGGACUAGCCCUCCUAAAUAGAAAGAGCCCCCCAUCGAGGUGACAGUGGGUGGGGAUGCUCCUGUUACGCCUGUUUUAUGCCCUGACUCAAGCUAUCUAAACCCUUCCUACAAACUGUGCGAUAACAGGUCCUAAGGUAGCGAAAUUCAUUGUCGAGUAAUUUUCGACCUGCACAAAAGGCGUAACGAUCUGGGCACUGUCUCGGAGAGAGACUCAGUGAAAUAUACAUGUAUGUGAAGAUGCAGACUACCUACACCUAGACAGAAAGACCCUAUGAAGCUUUACUGUUACCUGGGAUUGUCUUUGGGUUCUUCUUGAGAAGAUUAGGUGGAAUGCAAAGGAGGCUCCCUUCCGGGGGGGCCUAAGCCACCGGUGAGAUACCACUCUAGAAGAGCUAGAAUUAUAACCUUGUGUCAAGACCUAUGGGCCAAGGGACAGUCUCAGGUAGAUAGUUUCUAUGGGGCGUAGGCCUCCCAAAAGGUAACGGAGGCGUGUAAAGUUUUCCUCCGGCCAGACGGAAAUCAACCCUCGAUUGCAAAGGUAGAAGGGAGCUUGACCGCAAGACCCACCCAUCGAGUAGGGACGAAAUUCGACCUUAGUGAUUCGAUGGUGCCGAGUGGAAGGGUCGUCGCUCAAUGGAUAAAAGUUACUCUAGGGAUAACAGGCUGAUCUUCCCCAAAAGUUCACAUCGAUGGGAAGGUUUGGCACCUCGAUGUCUACUCUUUGCCACCUGGGGCAGUAGUACGUUCCAAGGGUUGGGUUGUUCGCCCAUUAAAGUGGUACGUGAGAUGGGUUCAAAACAUCGUGAGACAUUUCGGUCCAUAUCUGGCUCGGGCGUUAGAGAAUUAAGAGGACCUUUCCCUAGUACGAGAGGAUCGGGAAAGAUGCACCUCUAGUGUAAUGUGAGAAGCAGUUGGUGAUCUUAUCAGUGAUCCUUCAGGUCAAUGUCAGACACAUUCAUAGUUCCAAUGAGCCUCUUCUCUUUUGGCUCAAGUUUCAGAGACUCAUGAUCCAGAGACAUUUUCAAAAGCUUCAGGUCAUCCAGAUUGGGAUA
Molecule: non-coding RNA, 1655 nt
Organism: Picea glauca (white spruce)
Lineage: Eukaryota; Viridiplantae; Streptophyta; Pinopsida; Pinales; Pinaceae
Source: Rfam